GCAGGCUCACCAGCCCAUUCUAUGGAUGACUUAGCCAUCGUCGUCUGCAGGGCCAAGCCUGGGCCCAAGCCUAUCGCUCCUGGUUCUGCGCUCUUUCCAAACCCAGGAAGAGGGGCAAGAACAGCUCAGGCCUGAUAAUUUGCCUUAUCUCUUCGAGUGUCCGUUUUUUUCCAAUGGGCAUCCAAGUGGAGGUGCCCAUGAGAUGGCUGGACGCAUGGAGGCGCCCUGGAGAAGGUGGAGAGAGAGGAAGCCGGCACAGCCUGCAAAGAUGCCAGAGAAUGAGUGGCCAGAGCCCCUGAAGCCUCACAGGAGGAGGUCUUAGACAAGGCACAGCCAACAGUGCCAAUGGCAACAGAUGAAGCAGUACUCUUCCUCUCCAUCUCCUCCUCGUCCCUCAGACCAGAAGGCUCGACAUCUUUCUAAGGGAAACUUCGUGCUACUCCCACCCCACUGGGGUCCUGGUUGCCCUCCCUGGCUUCUAAAAUCACCCCCCACACCCCCAACAACCACCACAUACACCUUUCACCAGAGACUCACCCAGCGCUUCCAGAAGCUGGGGCAAAGAGGAGCACACACGACCACCUGCCUACUGAGCAGCUCACACUUCCUCCAAUGGAGCCACCACAAGGAAAUAUUGCUUGCUUGGUGCUAGACAAGUGCUGAAGAUGCUGUGAGAGGCAGAUAGAAGUCCCUGCUGUCGCGGAUCUUAAGUUCCAGGAAGAGACACAGAUAUAGAGUCGUGAACAAGUAAAGACUAAAAAUUAAAAUCAUGAUGGGGGAUGCCAUCAUGACUGGCCACUCUGAA
Long non-coding RNA from Gorilla gorilla gorilla (western lowland gorilla), 805 nucleotides. RefSeq lists it as uncharacterized. The record is from RefSeq and is a predicted model, not a curated record. The transcript has 4 exons. NCBI's taxonomy places the organism in Eukaryota, Metazoa, Chordata, Mammalia, Primates, Hominidae.